UAAUACGGGGGAUGCAAGCGUUAUCCGGAAUCAUUGGGCGUAAAGCGCCUGUAGGUUGUUUAAUAAGUCUGUUGUUAAAGACUAGGGCUUAACCCUAGAAAAGCAAUGGAAACUAUUAGACUAGAGUAUGGCAGGGGUAGAGGGAAUUUCUAGUGUAGCGGUGAAAUGCGUAGAUAUUAGAAAGAACACCGGCGGCGAAAGCGCUCUACUGGACCAUUACUGACACUCAGAGGCGAAAGCUAGGGUAGCAAAAGGGAUUAGAUACCCCUGUAGUCCUAGCCGUAAACGAUGGAUACUAGAUGUUGUGCUUUAUGUACAGUAUCGUAGCUAACGCGUUAAGUAUCCCGCCUGGGGAGUACGCUCGCAAGGGUG
Molecule: ribosomal RNA, 372 nt
Filed under: uncultured Emiliania
Lineage: Eukaryota; Haptophyta; Isochrysidales; Noelaerhabdaceae
Description: bacterial SSU rRNA
Rfam family: Bacterial small subunit ribosomal RNA
Source: RNAcentral